This 463-nucleotide ribosomal RNA is filed under the name uncultured bacterium. Its description in RNAcentral is "partial 16S ribosomal RNA". It matches the Rfam family "Bacterial small subunit ribosomal RNA", at positions 28 to 507 of the family's 1533-position model. The record is from RNAcentral.
GACGAACGCUGGCGGCGUGCUUAACACAUGCAAGUCGAACGGUGAACCUCUUCGGAGGGGAUCAGUGGCGAACGGGUGAGUAACACGUGGGCAACCUGCCCCCGGCUCUGGGAUAACUCCAAGAAAUUGGGGCUAAUACCGGAUGUUCACCGCUUCCCGCAUGGGUGGUGGUGGAAAGGGUUUCCGGCUGGGGAUGGGCCCGCGGCCUAUCAGCUUGUUGGUGGGGUAGUGGCCUACCAAGGCGACGACGGGUAGCCGGCCUGAGAGGGUGACCGGCCACACUGGGACUGAGACACGGCCCAGACUCCUACGGGAGGCAGCAGUGGGGAAUAUUGCGCAAUGGGCGGAAGCCUGACGCAGCGACGCCGCGUGGGGGAUGACGGCCUUCGGGUUGUAAACCUCUUUCAGCAGGGACGAAGCGCAAGUGACGGUACCUGCAGAAGAAGCACCGGCCAACUAUGUG